AACAAGGUUUCCGUAGGUGAACCUGCGGAAGGAUCAUUGAUGUUCCUUAGACAUGACCGCGAACGUUCAUCAAAAUUGUGAAGGCGUCGGGGUUUGGUUGUCGGUUGUUUCGGCGCAUCCGUUUGGUUGUGGCUCGAUCAUCCGCCAAUUCAGUUAUCCUCGACCUUCCAACACCGACGGUUACUCCCUUGCGAGGGAGGUCUGACCGGAAUGGUGGCUGAACAACCAAGAGACGCAGAUUUGCGUCAAGGAACUUGAAAAAUGACAACGCCUGGCAUUUAGUCGGUGUUUUAACCGCGCUGGUAAUGAACGACUCACGGCAACGGAUAUCUCGGCUCUCGCAUCGAUGAAGAACGUAGCGAAGUGCGAUACUUGGUGUGAAUUGCAGAAUCCCGUGAACCAUCGAGUUUUUGAACGCAAGUUGCGCCCAAAGCUCUUUGCCAAGGGCAUGCCUGCCUGGGCGUCACGUAUCAUGUCUCUCCAUCAAAACUUAUGUCGGUCGAAGUUUGAUGGUUGAGUAAAAUGGCCUCCCGUUUUCUUCGUAGAUCGGCCGGUCGAAAUUGGAUUUUCCCUUGUCAUUGGGUUCUAGGAACAUUGGUGGUUGUCGUCCUUGUUUUUCCAGAGCCGUGCUUGGGUAUUUCUAACAUGGUUCCCCUAUUGGCGCAUGUUCUAUGCCUCAGGAAGCGACCCCAGGUCAGGCGGGAUCACCCGCUGAGUUUA
This 720-nucleotide ribosomal RNA is filed under the name Utricularia geminiloba. RNAcentral describes it as "eukaryotic LSU rRNA". The stretch from base 312 to 466 matches the Rfam family "5.8S ribosomal RNA". Lineage: Eukaryota; Viridiplantae; Streptophyta; Magnoliopsida; Lamiales; Lentibulariaceae. The record is from RNAcentral.